UCCAUAACUAAUUAUUCCUAUAAAAAAGAACAACUAAAGGAAAAAUGCAUAGCCUACAAGCAAUGUUUCACGAGUUCUAUUCACUUUUGCAAAACACUGAAUUUAGAUGGAAUGCAGAAACCAACACUCUUACCGCUAGUGGAGAGGUCAGGCAAAAAUAUCUUAAGGAGGCACUUGCAGCAUGUGUUAAGACUGUGGAGGCUACUUCUUUAGUUCUUUACAUGUUUGCAGUUGAUGUCUGAUGGGCUAAUCCUACAAGCCGGUCUCGUCUGAUAUGAGCAUUAUGGAUCUUCAAUACGAAAUGGCCAUUUACUUGAGCAGUUUAAGUAUGAAAAUAAGAUAUUGUUUUACAUGUCAUAAAUUACACACGGCAUACUGCAUUUUAUGUUGGUCUAAUUAUGGAUGUAUUCCUUUAACUCUAAAUUCUAGUUAAAAUA
Long non-coding RNA from Vicia villosa (hairy vetch), 437 nucleotides. RefSeq lists it as uncharacterized. NCBI's taxonomy places the organism in Eukaryota, Viridiplantae, Streptophyta, Magnoliopsida, Fabales, Fabaceae. The record is from RefSeq and is a predicted model, not a curated record. The transcript has 3 exons.